AGCAUAAUCAUUAGUCUUUUAAUUGAAGGCUAGAAUGAACGGUUGGACGAGGAAAANUCUGUCUCUUAAUUAAUAUUANGAAUUUAACUUUUAAGUGAAAAGGCUUAAAUUUAACAGAAAGACGAUAAGACCCUAUAAAUCUUUACAUUANUNUUUAAUUUAAAAUUNUANGUUAGUAAAAUAUUAUUAAAANAAAAAAAUUUUUUGUNGGGGNGACGGGAAAAAAAAAUUAUCUGUUCAAAUAUAAUACAGAUUUAACUGAGAAUAAUAAGAUCCUUUUUAAAGAUUAUUAGAUUAAGUUACUUUAGGGAUAACAGCGUUAUUUUAUUUGAGAGUUCUUAUCGAAAAUAAAGAUUGCGACCUCGAUGUUGAAUUAAAAUUUCUU
Molecule: ribosomal RNA, 385 nt
Filed under: Paguristes acanthomerus
Lineage: Eukaryota; Metazoa; Arthropoda; Malacostraca; Decapoda; Diogenidae
Description: partial large subunit ribosomal RNA
Source: RNAcentral